RNAcentral lists this long non-coding RNA (1147 nucleotides) under Heterocephalus glaber (naked mole-rat). RNAcentral describes it as "lncRNA (ENSHGLG00100046171.1)". The record is from RNAcentral. Lineage: Eukaryota; Metazoa; Chordata; Mammalia; Rodentia; Bathyergidae.
GGUGAACCCAGUCACAGGAUCCAUUGGUUGCUUAUGCCUUGCUGAGCCUUUUACCACUAGCUGGUUGGGGGACUGGGCAAACUGCAUUGCUCCUUUGAAUCUGCUUCCUUAAUAGUUUUAAUAGUAGAAGUCCAUGGAUUCACUGACUUUUGAGUUUGAAAACUCUUCAGUCACAAUCUGUCCCUGAGCUGCAGCUAUCCCCAGGGAUCCACUGUGAGGUUUAAUUAAGAGAGGUCUGGGACAGAAGUGUCCUUGGGCUUACUGAUAAUAACACUUGAAUCCAGUACAAGCAUUCUUGUUAUCAGUGCCAGAGACUUAACUUCCUGCUGAGUAUAGAGCCCUCACUCAGGGCUGGCACCAAAAGCCACAAAGUGCUACCUGCAUCAUAAGAGGUGCCCCUCCUUAGCCGUUCUGCUAGCCCUCAGGGAGGGUGGGGGUGACUGCUUACCUUGGCUUUCUGGAGGACAGUGCCUUUGCCUGUGACCAUGACGGAAAGAGGCCUAUUCUUGAGCGCAGUGGCAGAGUUGACUGGGGUGCAGUCUUGGGUGGGGGCGGUGGCUUUAGGCUGUGGUUACAGAAAGAAAGCAAGGGACUAGGUCAAGAGGAGGGAGACAGGACCCCUCUCUGCCCCCCAACCUGUGUCCAAGAGGCCCCACCCAGAGCUCAGAAGAGCUGCAGCUCCCACCACUCACUCGGGGCUCAUGUUGUCCAGGUGUGUAGUGUCUACUGUGGUGCCCAGUGUCACAGGUCCAGCCUCAGCCUUCUUCAAGUUGUCCUUCACCUCCAUGAUGUUGAGCUCAAGGUCCACACGCCUGCUCUCCUUGAUCCGGCAUUCCUCAUCAAUUUCCUUCAGCUUCUGCUCCAGGAUGGCCAAGAUGCCCUUGUCUGGGGAGAGAAUUAAGCUGGCUACAGACACAGCGCCUCAGACAAGGCCAGAGAGCCAGGCUGGGUGGAGGCAGGGUUUAUAUACACCCCUACCCGAGAACCCCAAGUUAACGUGGACCAUCAGUCUAGCUCUAAUAGACGGGGGAGAGCUCUGCCUUCACAGGAGGCCAUGAGUGCGAGGCCUGAGUCUCUUCUGGAGAGUUCCCAGAGGCUCUCAGUUCUGGAACCUGCUAUUGUUAUAGGAUCCAAAAGCUUAAGAACC